This 462-nucleotide ribosomal RNA is filed under the name uncultured Desulfobulbus sp. RNAcentral describes it as "bacterial SSU rRNA". It matches the Rfam family "Bacterial small subunit ribosomal RNA", at positions 924 to 1382 of the family's 1533-position model. The record is from RNAcentral. Lineage: Bacteria; Pseudomonadati; Thermodesulfobacteriota; Desulfobulbia; Desulfobulbales; Desulfobulbaceae.
CACAAGCGGUGGAGUAUGUGGUUUAAUUCGAUGCAACGCGAAGAACCUUACCUGGUCUUGACAUCCCGGAGACCCUUAGGAAACUAGGGGUGCUUCCAUCUGGAAGAAUCUGGAGACAGGUGCUGCAUGGCUGUCGUCAGCUCGUGUCGUGAGAUGUUGGGUUAAGUCCCGCAACGAGCGCAACCCUUGCCUUUAGUUGCCAGCAGUCGGCUGGGCACUCUAAAGGGACUGCCGGUGUUAAACCGGAGGAAGGUGGGGAUGACGUCAAGUCCUCAUGGCCUUUAUGACCAGGGCUACACACGUACUACAAUGGCCGAUACGAAGGGCAGCGACACUGCGAGGUGAAGCCAAUCCCGUAAAAUCGGUCUCAGUCCGGAUUGGAGUCUGCAACUCGACUCCAUGAAGUUGGAAUCGCUAGUAAUCGUGGAUCAGCAUGCCACGGUGAAUACGUUCCCGGGCCUU